UCCCUAGUGACUCAGUUGAUAAAGAACCUGCCUGCAAUACAGGAAACCCAAGUUCAAUCCCUGGCUGAGGAA
This 72-nucleotide transfer RNA is filed under the name Bos taurus (domestic cattle). It matches the Rfam family "tRNA". Rfam says of the family: Transfer RNA (tRNA) molecules are approximately 80 nucleotides in length. The record is from Rfam by way of RNAcentral. Lineage: Eukaryota; Metazoa; Chordata; Mammalia; Artiodactyla; Bovidae. RNAcentral also lists the same sequence under 1 other name.